Molecule: ribosomal RNA, 553 nt
Filed under: Streptococcus sp. oral taxon 058
Lineage: Bacteria; Bacillati; Bacillota; Bacilli; Lactobacillales; Streptococcaceae
Description: bacterial SSU rRNA
Rfam family: Bacterial small subunit ribosomal RNA
Source: RNAcentral
GGAAGUAUGACCGAGCAACGCCGCGUGAGUGAAGAAGGUUUUCGGAUCGUAAAGCUCUGUUGUAAGAGAAGAACGAGUGUGAGAGUGGAAAGUUCACACUGUGACGGUAUCUUACCAGAAAGGGACGGCUAACUACGUGCCAGCAGCCGCGGUAAUACGUAGGUCCCGAGCGUUGUCCGGAUUUAUUGGGCGUAAAGCGAGCGCAGGCGGUUAGAUAAGUCUGAAGUUAAAGGCUGUGGCUUAACCAUAGUACGCUUUGGAAACUGUUUAACUUGAGUGCAAGAGGGGAGAGUGGAAUUCCAUGUGUAGCGGUGAAAUGCGUAGAUAUAUGGAGGAACACCGGUGGCGAAAGCGGCUCUCUGGCUUGUAACUGACGCUGAGGCUCGAAAGCGUGGGGAGCAAACAGGAUUAGAUACCCUGGUAGUCCACGCCGUAAACGAUGAGUGCUAGGUGUUAGACCCUUUCCGGGGUUUAGUGCCGCAGCUAACGCAUUAAGCACUCCGCCUGGGGAGUACGACCGCAAGGUUGAAACUCAAAGGAGUUGACGGGGGCC